UGGUGCAUGGCCAGUCUUGGUGGAGCAAUUUGUCUGGUUAAUUCCAAUAACAAAUGGGACUCUGCCAUGCUAAUGAGUUGCACAGGAGUCUGUGUCCCAACUCCUUAGAAGGACAAGGAGCAUUUACCUACCCAAGUUCGAGGAAUAAUUGAUCUGUGAUGUC
RNAcentral lists this non-coding RNA (163 nucleotides) under Sarcophilus harrisii (Tasmanian devil). RNAcentral describes it as "Eukaryotic small subunit ribosomal RNA". It matches the Rfam family "Eukaryotic small subunit ribosomal RNA", at positions 1278 to 1471 of the family's 1831-position model. The record is from Rfam by way of RNAcentral. Lineage: Eukaryota; Metazoa; Chordata; Mammalia; Dasyuromorphia; Dasyuridae.